This 706-nucleotide ribosomal RNA is filed under the name uncultured bacterium. RNAcentral's name for it is "bacterial SSU rRNA". It matches the Rfam family "Bacterial small subunit ribosomal RNA", at positions 55 to 749 of the family's 1533-position model. The record is from RNAcentral.
AUGCAGUCGAGCGGCAGCGGGAAGGUAGCUUGCUACUUUUGCCGGCGAGCGGCGGACGGGUGAGUAAUGCCUGGGGAUCUGCCCAGUCGAGGGGGAUAACAGUUGGAAACGACUGCUAAUACCGCAUACGCCCUACGAGGGAAAGGAGGGGACCUUCGGGCCUUUCGCGAUUGGAUGAACCCAGGUGGGAUUAGCUAGUUGGUGGGGUAAUGGCUCACCAAGGCGACGAUCCCUAGCUGGUCUGAGAGGAUGAUCAGCCACACUGGAACUGAGACACGGUCCAGACUCCUACGGGAGGCAGCAGUGGGGAAUAUUGCACAAUGGGGGAAACCCUGAUGCAGCCAUGCCGCGUGUGUGAAGAAGGCCUUCGGGUUGUAAAGCACUUUCAGCGAGGAGGAAAGGUUGGCGCCUAAUACGUGUCAACUGUGACGUUACUCGCAGAAGAAGCACCGGCUAACUCCGUGCCAGCAGCCGCGGUAAUACGGAGGGUGCAAGCGUCAAUCGGAAUUACUGGGCGUAAAGCGCACGCAGGCGGUUGGAUAAGUUAGAUGUGAAAGCCCCGGGCUCAACCUGGGAAUUGCAUUUAAAACUGUCCAGCUAGAGUCUUGUAGAGGGGGGUAGAAUUCCAGGUGUAGCGGUGAAAUGCGUAGAGAUCUGGAGGAAUACCGGUGGCGAAGGCGGCCCCCUGGACAAAGACUGACGCUCA